CAAACUAAAUUCUCUCACCGUUGAAAACUUGAUCUGAUGCCACUUAAUAGGAGUAGAGGUGUCCCGAUCUUUCGGUGAAGAUGGAUAACUUCGAUCUCUCUGGAGCGACGUUCACGAUCCGACUACAACCAUCCAAGGACGCUGCGCCUUAGCGAUCGAUACACCAAUUCCAGCGGUUGAUCACGAUCUUGUUGAUCACAACCAACCAAACCACUAGGGUAAUUCCUGCACG
This 232-nucleotide long non-coding RNA is filed under the name Sorghum bicolor (sorghum). RNAcentral describes it as "long non-coding RNA (SBIC_LNC008947)". Lineage: Eukaryota; Viridiplantae; Streptophyta; Magnoliopsida; Poales; Poaceae. The record is from RNAcentral.